RNAcentral lists this ribosomal RNA (433 nucleotides) under uncultured bacterium. Its description in RNAcentral is "partial 16S ribosomal RNA". It matches the Rfam family "Bacterial small subunit ribosomal RNA", at positions 29 to 507 of the family's 1533-position model. The record is from RNAcentral.
AACGAACGCUGGCGGCAUGCCUAACACAUGCAAGUCGAACGAGACCUUCGGGUCUAGUGGCGCACGGGUGCGUAACGCGUGGGAACCUGCCCUUAGGUUCGGAAUAACUCCCCGAAAGGGGUGCUAAUACCGGAUAAUGUCUUCGGACCAAAGAUUUAUCGCCUUUGGAUGGGCCCGCGUUGGAUUAGCUAGUUGGUAGGGUAAAAGCCUACCAAGGCGACGAUCCAUAGCUGGUCUGAGAGGAUAAUCAGCCACACUGGGACUGAGACACGGCCCAGACUCCUACGGGAAGCAGCAGUGGGGAAUAUUGGACAAUGGGCGAAAGCCUGAUCCAGCAAUGCCGCGUGAGUGAUGAAGGCCUUAGGGUUGUAAAGCUCUUUUACCCGGGAUGAUAAUGACAGUACCGGGAGAAUAAGCUCCGGCUAACUCCGUG